RNAcentral lists this unclassified non-coding RNA (1282 nucleotides) under Hevea brasiliensis (rubber tree). The record is from RNAcentral. Lineage: Eukaryota; Viridiplantae; Streptophyta; Magnoliopsida; Malpighiales; Euphorbiaceae.
GCUUACCAUUACAAGUUCAUAUUAUUCAAUAACCAUUUACUUCCUUAAACAUAUUCAUAUUCAAACACAACUUAAAAAACAUUAUACAAAUUGCAACGCAAAAAGUUACUAAAAUACUGAUGAGAGGGAGAGAGAAAGAUAAAGUGCAAAUGGAAGGAAAGGGGGUGGGUUAGGGUUUCAGUAUUUCCACGAGGGCAAUUUGGAUAUUUCACUCUCCUCUAAUGGCUCAAAUGGAUGGAGGGAUUAAGUUUUAGACAGCAGAAAACCUCAGAGACAUAACCAUUCGAUUUUAAAAAUAGAGGGACAAAAGUAUUAAUUACGCCAUACCCCUGAAAAUAAAAGGUAAUUUUUCUUUUCUUUUUUUCUGAUUAUUUUCCUUUCUCACUCAAAUGAUAAAAUUAAAAUGCUGGGUUUGAUUUUUUUUUCCUAAAAUAAAAUGUUGGAAACAACAAAUUGCAUACAUGCUAACUUUUUUUUUUUUAUUAUUGGAUUUGGAAUGUAUGUAUGCCGGUGCCUGCUACAACAAGUGUCAACCAUUGACCAAAAUCUCAUUUCAAUAUGAGUUUUAGGAGUAGUAACUCAGAGUUGUGAUCUUAAUCAGUAAGAAUGAAGGGGAACAAUAAUUAGUAAGGGGAAAACAUCAUAUGAUUAGUACAAGAAUUUAUGUGAGCUUGCUGUAAAAACUCAAGAAUUUCAACUUGGAUAACUGAUUAACAUGUUGAUGUGAGAAAUUAAGAGGAAAAGAAGAGAGAGAACACAACCUUGGCUGAGUAGUUUUUCGAAUCAAUGAACAUGUAUAUGGAUACCAAUUGCAAUGAUCAAGAUGGUGAUUAUGCAGAAGUAUAUUACAGCAUGAACUAGAAUGGCGAUCCCACUUGUGUGCAUGCUCCCAAAUUCUACCACCCUUAUCCUUGCUGGUAUCUGGAAUAAUAGCCCUGGUGAUAGCAGGAUGAACAAAAUUACUGCUACUACAACUGGUCCCCAAUCUGCACUCAUCUUUCUCUCUUUCGGAUGGAGAUUUGGAAUUCUUGGAAUCUCUCUUCAAGAAUACAUUAGAAAAGACAGGGUUGUGCAUUCAAAUAUGUAGGAGCACUUGCAAGGGGAAUGAGUAAUUUUCUUGUUGAUUAAGGAGAUGUGGAUGCGAAACUUAGUGACAAAGAAGAGGGUAGAUUUAGAGGGGAGGAAACGUAUGCGUCUGUUGUGGGUUUCCUUUAUGGUUAUGGGAAGAAAGAAGCCAACUUUGCGUUCACUAACUACAAAUAAUUGCUCACUAGGCUGCUUU